CACUAUCAUUAACUGAAUCCAUAGGUUAAUGAGGCGAACCGGGGGAACUGAAACAUCUAAGUACCCCGAGGAAAAGAAAUCAACCGAGAUUCCCCCAGUAGCGGCGAGCGAACGGGGAAGAGCCCAGAGCCUGAAUCAGUGUGUGUGUUAGUGGAAGCGUCUGGAAAGGCGCGCGAUACAGGGUGACAGCCCCGUACACAAAAACGCACAUGCUGUGAGCUCGAUGAGUAGGGCGGGACACGUGGUAUCCUGUCUGAAUAUGGGGGGACCAUCCUCCAAGGCUAAAUACUCCUGACUGACCGAUAGUGAACCAGUACCGUGAGGGAAAGGCGAAAAGAACCCCGGCGAGGGGAGUGAAAAAGAACCUGAAACCGUGUACGUACAAGCAGUGGGAGCACAGAGCAAUCUGUGUGACUGCGUACCUUUUGUAUAAUGGGUCAGCGACUUAUAUUCUGUAGCAAGGUUAACCGAAUAGGGGAGCCGAAGGGAAACCGAGUCUUAACUGGGCGUUAAGUUGCAGGGUAUAGACCCGAAACCCGGUGAUCUAGCCAUGGGCAGGUUGAAGGUUGGGUAACACUAACUGGAGGACCGAACCGACUAAUGUUGAAAAAUUAGCGGAUGACUUGUGGCUGGGGGUGAAAGGCCAAUCAAACCGGGAGAUAGCUGGUUCUCCCCGAAAGCUAUUUAGGUAGCGCCUCGUGAAUUCAUCUCCGGGGGUAGAGCACUGUUUCGGCAAGGGGGUCAUCCCGACUUACCAACCCGAUGCAAACUGCGAAUACCGGAGAAUGUUAUCACGGGAGACACACGGCGGGUGCUAACGUCCGUCGUGAAGAGGGAAACAACCCAGACCGCCAGCUAAGGUCCCAAAGUCAUGGUUAAGUGGGAAACGAUGUGGGAAGGCCCAGACAGCCAGGAUGUUGGCUUAGAAGCAGCCAUCAUUUAAAGAAAGCGUAAUAGCUCACUGGUCGAGUCGGCCUGCGCGGAAGAUGUAACGGGGCUAAACCAUGCACCGAAGCUGCGGCAGCGACACUAUGUGUUGUUGGGUAGGGGAGCGUUCUGUAAGCCUGUGAAGGUGUGCUGUGAGGCAUGCUGGAGGUAUCAGAAGUGCGAAUGCUGACAUAAGUAACGAUAAAGCGGGUGAAAAGCCCGCUCGCCGGAAGACUAAGGGUUCCUGUCCAACGUUAAUCGGGGCAGGGUGAGUCGACCCCUAAGGCGAGGCCGAAAGGCGUAGUCGAUGGGAAACAGGUUAAUAUUCCUGUACUUGGUGUUACUGCGAAGGGGGGACGGAGAAGGCUAUGUUGGCCGGGCGACGGUUGUCCCGGUUUAAGCGUGUAGGCUGGUUUUCCAGGCAAAUCCGGAAAAUCAAGGCUGAGGCGUGAUGACGAGGCACUACGGUGCUGAAGCAACAAAUGCCCUGCUUCCAGGAAAAGCCUCUAAGCAUCAGGUAACAUCAAAUCGUACCCCAAACCGACACAGGUGGUCAGGUAGAGAAUACCAAGGCGCUUGAGAGAACUCGGGUGAAGGAACUAGGCAAAAUGGUGCCGUAACUUCGGGAGAAGGCACGCUGAUAUGUAGGUGAAGUCCCUCGCGGAUGGAGCUGAAAUCAGUCGAAGAUACCAGCUGGCUGCAACUGUUUAUUAAAAACACAGCACUGUGCAAACACGAAAGUGGACGUAUACGGUGUGACGCCUGCCCGGUGCCGGAAGGUUAAUUGAUGGGGUCAGCGCAAGCGAAGCUCUUGAUCGAAGCCCCGGUAAACGGCGGCCGUAACUAUAACGGUCCUAAGGUAGCGAAAUUCCUUGUCGGGUAAGUUCCGACCUGCACGAAUGGCGUAAUGAUGGCCAGGCUGUCUCCACCCGAGACUCAGUGAAAUUGAACUCGCUGUGAAGAUGCAGUGUACCCGCGGCAAGACGGAAAGACCCCGUGAACCUUUACUAUAGCUUGACACUGAACAUUGAGCCUUGAUGUGUAGGAUAGGUGGGAGGCUUAGAAGUGUGGACGCCAGUCUGCAUGGAGCCGACCUUGAAAUACCACCCUUUAAUGUUUGAUGUUCUAACGU
Molecule: ribosomal RNA, 2059 nt
Filed under: Escherichia coli
Lineage: Bacteria; Pseudomonadati; Pseudomonadota; Gammaproteobacteria; Enterobacterales; Enterobacteriaceae
Description: partial 23S ribosomal RNA
Rfam family: Bacterial large subunit ribosomal RNA
Source: RNAcentral